Long non-coding RNA from Syngnathoides biaculeatus (alligator pipefish), 692 nucleotides. RefSeq lists it as uncharacterized. The transcript is spliced from 3 exons. The record is from RefSeq and is a predicted model, not a curated record. Lineage: Eukaryota; Metazoa; Chordata; Actinopteri; Syngnathiformes; Syngnathidae.
GUUUCAGGACAGGUUUCUUCCUCUUCUUGUUGGCGUAAGUUCCAGAGAUAGCCAACAUUUUUGUGCCGCUUGCCACGCAAACUUCGCCUGAAGCUUGUCAGCUCGCCACCGCGGAGACGACCUUUCCUCUUCUCCUUCGGACAAACGGAACAAGAUCCUUCGCUGUGUGCUGAGGCGAAACCAUCAAGGAGACAUGUGUGGUGACAAGGAGGCAUAGAAGGAUCCAGAGGAUCCGCCAUCUUAUACCAUUGGAGUUGUUCAGGAGUCAAAAACACCGAAAAGGCAACACCUGAAACUGGGCUCAUCUCAAAAGGAGAAGAGUCAGGUUAUAGAGAUGAGAUUGCAAAUCCGUCAAAGUGGUGUUCAGCAAACAACCUCAAACUAAAAACCACAAAAAACAAAGGAAAUCAUCCUGGACUUCUAGAAGUGCAGCAUGGACCCGGACCCACUGUUCAUCAAUGGGGAGUGUGUGGAGAGAGACCACUCCUUCAGAUUUCUGGGAAUCUAAAUCACAGAUAAACUCACCUGGACUGUAAAUACCAUGGCGGGAGUGAAAACGGCCCAGCAGCAACUCCACUUCCUGAAAGUGCUCAGGAAGAACAAUCUAAAAGCUAAACUGCUUGUGUCUUUCUGCAGAACGCUCAAGAUCCACAUGUGACUUCAGAGCUAUGGGUUACCUCCCCCUGUAACAG